GCGUGGGUGAUGAAGGCCUUCGGGUUGUAAAGCCCUUUUGGCGGGGACGAUGAUGACGGUACCCGCAGAAUAAGCCCCGGCUAACUUCGUGCCAGCAGCCGCGGUAAUACGAAGGGGGCUAGCGUUGUUCGGAAUUACUGGGCGUAAAGGGCGCGUAGGCGGCUUCGAUAGUCAGGCGUGAAAGGCCUGGGCUCAACCCAGGAACUGCGCUUGAUACUGUGAGGCUAGAGUGUGGGAGAGGAUGGUGGAAUUCCCAGUGUAGAGGUGAAAUUCGU
RNAcentral lists this ribosomal RNA (275 nucleotides) under uncultured bacterium. RNAcentral describes it as "partial 16S ribosomal RNA". It matches the Rfam family "Bacterial small subunit ribosomal RNA", at positions 399 to 691 of the family's 1533-position model. The record is from RNAcentral.